UACGUAGGGAGCAAGCGUUGUCCGGAAUCAUUGGGCGUAAAGCGCGCGUAGGCGGCCCUGUAAGUCCGCUGUGAAAGUCAAAGGCUCAACCUUUGAAAGCCGGUGGAUACUGCAGGGCUAGAGUCCGGAAGAGGCGAGUGGAACUCCUGGUGUAGCGGUGGAAUGCGCAGAUAUCAGGAAGAACACCAACGGCGAAGGCAGCUCGCUGGGACGGUACUGACGCUGAGGCGCGAAAGCGUGGGGAGCGAACAGG
This 253-nucleotide ribosomal RNA is filed under the name uncultured bacterium. RNAcentral's name for it is "partial 16S ribosomal RNA". It matches the Rfam family "Bacterial small subunit ribosomal RNA", at positions 524 to 776 of the family's 1533-position model. The record is from RNAcentral.